CAGGGACAGGAUCCUUGCUUUAAAAGCACUCACCUAGCAUCAUGCAGCCUUUUCUCAACAAGGAAAGGGAAGAAGAAUGAUUUGAAGAAGGAAAAUGGCACCAACUUGGUUUGCUUGAUGAAUUUGUGGAUCCAAAUUCCAAAGUGGACUUACCUGAUUUGCAUCUCCCUGAUUAAUAUGCAGACCAGAUCAUAAUCCUUCUUCAGACUCCAAACUCAGGCUUUCAAUGUGUGCUUUACUACAAUAGCAUGUGGAGUGCACCUAAGGGAAGAAGCAUCUGAUUGGUCUCUCAUGGACAACAUCUGCACUGGAAACUGCAACUUUAGCUUUGAAGCUCCACGAAAUGUGCAGCAUUCCCUUCAAGAGGCACAGUGUUCCUUUUCUGCAUCAGUUUGACCAUUUGCCACCCAGAGGGACCCAUUUCCUGGUAUCUCACUCAUUUUUCUUCUUGUGGAGACAAAACUUCUACAGACAUUUCAAGCCUGAUCUUUUCCAGAAAUGAUUCUGAAUGCUUUAAGAUAUUAGCGUAAUUAUCAAAAGCUAAUGAGUUUUUAAAGCUUUUUAAUAUGAAAGCAUGAUUUCAGAACCUCUUGCUGUCAGAACUAUAACUAGGUUACAGACGCAGUGGCAUGAUUUAUGACCCAUUCACACUAAUGACUAGAGACUGAAGAUACAGCUCCUUAUGAAUAAGCACUCUUGCCUCAUCAUGACAGGGCAGUGAAAGCUCUGAAAAUAUGCUUAUGUGCUCCUGCAUAAUGGAUCAGAGGCUUAAUAAAAGGCCACCUUAAUAGCAUUCCUCUACUAAUAUAACAAGGGAUAGCUUGCAAGCAGAGUGCCUAUUAUCUGAACUUCAGCUGCCUGCAAACUUCUAGUUAGCUAAAUUGUGUGUGUGUGUGCUGUGUGUUAGUUAUCCAUCCACGUGUUCCCAUAUUUUGACAAUGAAAUUAAGAACUAGAGGUAUAUAAGGAAUUUGAUUUUUGUGAAUUCCAGCAUGAAUUGAUCUGAUCAACAUUUCCUAGACUAAUGUGUAGACUGGAA
This is a long non-coding RNA of Rhineura floridana, 1038 nucleotides long. RefSeq lists it as uncharacterized. NCBI's taxonomy places the organism in Eukaryota, Metazoa, Chordata, Lepidosauria, Squamata, Rhineuridae. The transcript has 3 exons. The record is from RefSeq and is a predicted model, not a curated record.